UUGGUUUAAGAGUUAUAAGCCAAAUCUACAUUUUACCCCUCUGUUCUAUUUUUAGCCAUGGCGGCCAUCUUGGUUGGUUGGCAGGGUCACGCCACACAUUUUUUAAACUAGAUACCCCAAUGAUGAUUGUGGCCAAGUUUGGAAUAAUUUGGCCCAGUAGUUUCAGAGGAGAAGAUUUUUGUAAAAGAUUACUAAGAUUUACGAAAAAU
RNAcentral lists this long non-coding RNA (209 nucleotides) under Mytilus galloprovincialis (Mediterranean mussel). Lineage: Eukaryota; Metazoa; Mollusca; Bivalvia; Mytilida; Mytilidae. The record is from RNAcentral.